Molecule: ribosomal RNA, 465 nt
Filed under: uncultured bacterium
Lineage: Bacteria
Description: partial 16S ribosomal RNA
Rfam family: Bacterial small subunit ribosomal RNA
Source: RNAcentral
GACGAACGCUGGCGGCGUGCUUAACACAUGCAAGUCGAACGGAAAGGCCCUGCUUGCAGGGUACUCGAGUGGCGAACGUGUGAGUAACACGUGGGUGAUCUGCCCUGCACUUCGGGAUAAGCCUGGGAAACUGGGUCUAAUACCGGAUAGGAGCCAUUUUUAGUGUGAUGGUUGGAAAGUUUUUUCGGUGUAGGAUGAGCUCGCGGCCUAUCAGCUUGUUGGUGGGGUAAUGGCCUACCAAGGCGGCGACGGGUAGCCGGCCUGAGAGGGUGGACGGCCACAUUGGGACUGAGAUACGGCCCAGACUCCUACGGGAGGCAGCAGUGGGGAAUAUUGCACAAUGGGCGCAAGCCUGAUGCAGCGACGCCGCGUGGGGGAUGACGGCCUUCGGGUUGUAAACUCCUUUCGCUAGGGACGAAGCUUUUUGUGACGGUACCUAGAUAAGAAGCACCGGCUAACUACGUG